RNAcentral lists this ribosomal RNA (452 nucleotides) under Odontotermes lacustris. Its description in RNAcentral is "partial 16S ribosomal RNA". It matches the Rfam family "Bacterial large subunit ribosomal RNA", at positions 1854 to 2597 of the family's 2925-position model. Lineage: Eukaryota; Metazoa; Arthropoda; Insecta; Blattodea; Termitidae. The record is from RNAcentral.
AUGGCCUGCCCGCUGAUUGAAGGGCCGCGGUAUUUUGACCGUGCAAAGGUAGCAUAGUCAUUAGUUCUUUAAUUGUGAUCUGGUAUGAAUGGCUUGACGAGACAUGGGCUGUCUUUUUGAAUUUGUAUUUUGAGUUAAAAUUCUUAGAUGUUUUUAUGGGACGAGAAGACCCUAUAGAGUUUGACAUUUGGUUUUUUGUUUGUUUUAAAUUUUUGCGUUUGUUUUGUUGGGGUGAUGGGAAGAAUUUUUUAACUCUUCUUUAUUGGUAUAUUGAUUUAUAUUUAUUUUGAUCCAUUUAUUUUGAUUAUAAGAUUAAAUUACCUUAGGGAUAACAGCGUUAUCUUCCCUGAGAGUUCUUAUUGGCGGGGGGGUUUGCGACCUCGAUGUUGGAUUAAGGUUAAUUUUUGGUGUAGGAGCUGAAUUGAUUAGGUCUGUUCGACCUUUAAAAUCUU